AGAGUUUGAUCCUGGCUCAGAAUCAACGCUGGCGGCGUGCCUAACACAUGCAAGUCGAACGCGAAAGCCCCGCAAGGGGUAAGUAGAGUGGCAAACGGGUGAGUAACACGUGGGUGACCUGCCUUCGAGUGGGGGAUAACGUCCCGAAAGGGACGCUAAUACCGCAUGACAUCCUGCUCUUGGACGAGCGGAGAUCAAAGCUGGGGAUCGCAAGACCUGGCGCUUGAAGAGGGGCCCGCGUCUGAUUAGCUAGUUGGUGAGGUAACGGCUCACCAAGGCGACGAUCAGUAUCCGGCCUGAGAGGGCGGACGGACACACUGGGACUGAGACACGGCCCAGACUCCUACGGGAGGCAGCAGUGGGGAAUUGUUCGCAAUGGGCGCAAGCCUGACGACGCAACGCCGCGUGGAGGAUGAAGAUCUUCGGGUCGUAAACUCCUGUCGAGCGGGAAGAACGUUUCGCGGAUGAAUAAGCCGCGGAAGUGACGGUACCGCUAAA
This 498-nucleotide ribosomal RNA is filed under the name uncultured Acidobacteriaceae bacterium. Its description in RNAcentral is "bacterial SSU rRNA". It matches the Rfam family "Bacterial small subunit ribosomal RNA", at positions 8 to 485 of the family's 1533-position model. The record is from RNAcentral. Lineage: Bacteria; Pseudomonadati; Acidobacteriota; Terriglobia; Terriglobales; Acidobacteriaceae.